This 382-nucleotide ribosomal RNA is filed under the name Staphylococcus aureus. RNAcentral describes it as "bacterial SSU rRNA". It matches the Rfam family "Bacterial small subunit ribosomal RNA", at positions 484 to 864 of the family's 1533-position model. The record is from RNAcentral. Lineage: Bacteria; Bacillati; Bacillota; Bacilli; Caryophanales; Staphylococcaceae.
CAGAAAGCCACGGCUAACUACGUGCCAGCAGCCGCGGUAAUACGUAGGUGGCAAGCGUUAUCCGGAAUUAUUGGGCGUAAAGCGCGCGUAGGCGGUUUUUUAAGUCUGAUGUGAAAGCCCACGGCUCAACCGUGGAGGGUCAUUGGAAACUGGAAAACUUGAGUGCAGAAGAGGAAAGUGGAAUUCCAUGUGUAGCGGUGAAAUGCGCAGAGAUAUGGAGGAACACCAGUGGCGAAGGCGACUUUCUGGUCUGUAACUGACGCUGAUGUGCGAAAGCGUGGGGAUCAAACAGGAUUAGAUACCCUGGUAGUCCACGCCGUAAACGAUGAGUGCUAAGUGUUAGGGGGUUUCCGCCCCUUAGUGCUGCAGCUAACGCAUUAAG